CAAACACAAAAAUGGGAGCACUGUGCAUUGGAGAAACCGAGAACAAAGGAGUGUGGAGAGGGGGUGGAGAACAGUGAGAUGAAAUUGGAGAGAAGGUUCUUGUGGUUCUCUGCUUUGUGACGGCCCCACUGGUCCUCAACCUCCUUACCGGUGACAUGGGUGUGGUCACACCUACCUGGUAGGUUUAUAGUGAGUGUGAAACAUACAGUUGUAUUUCCUUGCUAAACUCAUGCCCAUAGGACAUGCUCAGUUAUGGUCAUUUCCUUUUACUCUUUUUUCCUUCCAUUACUUAUAUUUUGAGUUCAUAAGAGCAAUAUUUAGAUUUUGUGUGUCAGUGGAUCUCCUUAGUUCCCAUCCCAGUGCAAACUGCUUAGAAAAGGCUCAGUGGCAGCUGGGGUUACCACUAUGAUUAUUAAGAAGUCUUCUGUAUGUUGGGAUAUAACAUUUAUUUUCUCACCUAGAUUUUUAUUUCAUAAAUAUUGCUGUGGGUUUACAAUACUAAAUUGAAUUUCCAGCAUCUGAUUCUUUUAAAUGUAGAAUUAUGCAUCUUUAUUAUCCAUUCAUAUUUCAGGUUUGAAUGUACAGUUGGACAUGAUUUUAUUUUUGAAUGAGCAGAAUAUUGGUUAGUUCAGAGGUUCAAAGCAUCCCUAAGAUUUAGAAUGAUAAAAAAUGGAAUCUAUAUAUAUUGGAUUGCAAUAUGUAUUUGCAUCACAGCAUUUUUCUGAUAGCCAUGAGAAAAGUAUAUAAAUAUUGAGAUUGAAUGAAUGUAUAUAAAUAAAAAUAUCCCUUUCACCAAUAAUUUGCAGCACAAACAACAAAGCAGUAAUUUAGAGCUCUGACCUUGUAUUAAUAAUUCAGCUGAUUAGAGGAAACCAAUUGUCUCUUUAUUUCAUGUUCUGUUGCAGCUAAUUUCUGGAGAAUUCUAAGUGAAUCAGUAUGCCAAAAAUUGACGAGUUCCAUUCCUUUUGUGUCUAGAUAGCUUGUUUGUCCUGUUUUCUCAAUUUUCAAGUAAAAAAAAAAAAGUUUUCUUCUUUUUAACUGCCAACUCUGGACUAAAGCUGGGUCCUCCCUUUUUCUUUCUCACAUAAUUACAUAAUCAAGUUCCUGCUCUCUGAACUUUGCUGACAAUUCUGUUGACAAUGCAUGCAACAGAGUAAAACACAUCCCAGUCUUCCUUAACGAACUGAGCCUAAACAGUUGUAGAAACUCCCUUUAAUCAGAUUGAUGUGCCCAGAAAGCAGAUAAUAGGAGAAAGAAGGUAUAAAGUAUCACCUUUCAUUGCACGACUCUACAUGUUUUUUUGUUUUCUGAUUAUUGCCAGUAGGUAGAUAGAUGAUAUUUAUACUCUGAAUAUUACUCACAAGGGUUUUUUUAAUUAAUUUUUUUUUGUCUUUUUCAUCCUUCUGCUUUUAUUAAGAAGUUCCUGUUUAUCCCACCACUUGGUCCCUCAUACAAAUACAGUUUUGUGCACUGGCCUAUUCAUAAAUUAUUAAUGUCACAUUGGAAAAAAAACCUUUCAGAAACGCCACUCCCCACCCCAACACCAACAUGUAACUACUGGCUAUUUCGCUGAGCUUCGGGGCACAUGAAGCACACUCAACUUUACUAGUGAAGAUAGCUGCUGAAGCUGUUCUUCCGCUGGUGAAACAAUUAGCUUUAUGUUCCAUUUGCUGAUGAUGGCGCGCGCUAAACUGAUCAUGUUUGUUAAACCCCUGUCAGUCUUUUCAGCCUGCUCAGCUCUGGGGAGAGUCAGGAUGUACAGCCGGGCUCCAGAGCUGUUGGGUAGAAAUAAAAAGAUCUGCACUCAUCGCACAAGAAAAUGGCAUUCCUGGCUGUCAGUGUGGAAGGAAGAGCUCGUCUCUCCAGUGUUUCACAGCAGACUCUCGGCUCAUGUCCCAGAGUGUCAGCUCACGCCUUGUUGCUAAGUGUGUGUUUUCCCCACCUCACCCGACAGGUAGACGUGCCCAACAUGAAAGAAGGCAGCUCUCAGACUGGGAAGCAAGUUUACCCCUAAUUUGGGGCCAGUUUUGAUAAACUGAGUAGUUCCACUAAUUCUUACUUUGGUGUGGGUUUAUUAUUAACCUUGAGAUGUGCCUUAAAUGCCUAAGAAAUCAAAUGUGGAGAUGGUCCACUUCUGUCUGAAGACCUGGUAAGAGGCACCUCCUUUGUCCCAAAGACAUCCCAUCCCCUUCACCUCUCCCCACUGCAUGGAUGCGAACCCAAAUUCUCCAGUAGACUGGUUGUGAAGGGAGAUGGAAUUGCCUGAAGGAAUGGGCUUUGAGUCCCAAGAGUAGGAAUAUCAUGUUGGGACCUAUGAUCUGACCAUGCAUUGAGGGUAUUUGGCAUUUUGCAUCUUCAGCUAGUUUCCAGUAGCAUACAUCUGGCUAGAAUGCUUACCAUAGCGUUAAAAUUAAAAAAGAAAAAUAGACAAACUGGCUGUUGUAAUCCUAAAGAUUUCCUAAGAAGGUAAAUCACAGAGGAAAACCAUGUAUUUUAAAACAAAAUAUAAAUAGAUUUGUCUAUUGUACGCUUUCAAUAUUCUGUAUAUUUUUAUUCACAAAUAUUAAGUGCCUAACCUGUGCCACCAUGAGUAUGAACAAAACAGACAUUCUUCUGGCCCACAAGAAGCUAACUGUCUAAGCAGCAUCCCGUUUAGUCAGCAUGAAUCAUCAAAGUUGUUUGUAUUAAGAAUCCAUAGCCUUAACACUUCACUCUUGCUAUAUGGUCUUGUCUAAAUAUCUCGCUGCUCUAAAUUUCAGCAUCUCCUGUAUAAAACGAGGGAAAUGGGUCUGGAUAAUCCUUUAGGGACCUGAACAACAUUCAGCCGGCUUCUGCCAUUAGCGCCUGUGUGGUCUUAGGGAUGCUGCUUAAUGUUUCUGAGCUUCAAAUGCUGCAUAAGUAAAAUGAAAUGCUCAAUUUGCAAGGUUUUUUAUUGUCAUUGUUAUUGUUGUUUAAUGAAACAAAGGCUAAAGUCUAGCCUGGCCCAGUAGUAGUGCUGAAUAGAAGUAGUUAUUAUUGUAUUGUUUUUUUCUGUGAAUCUGUGACUAUUGCUUGUGAUCCAAGGAUUCCAAAAUGUAUUUUAUUAGAUUUACCAAGAUCUCCUAAUUCUGGGAUGCUGCUGUUUAUAGUAGACAACAGAAUUCAGUUUCUAAAGAGUUACCCUGUAGCAUUUUUCCUUUCUUUAAUAAAUCCACAUGCAGGAGCACAGAUGAGAAGAGAAAUAUAUAUUGGCUUUGGCCAGGUGACACAGAAGCAUGCUUAGGACCCACUGCCGAGUGCCUUAGGUGUCAGCAAAGAGUCAGCUGCUCUUUGUUGACCUGAUACCAACUUCCAAAGUCACUCUAUUGCAGUUUCAAGCAAGAAAACAUAUGACAGUUUACACAGCUCUUCUAUGUUCCUCUAGCUUUUUCCUUCCAUGGUAGAAAAAUAAAGAUUUUUCUGAGAACUAAAUGAUAAUAGAUAAUAGGGAAACUUCAGGAAGUUACUAAAUAUUUCCUUUUGGAGCUGUGGACAUGCAGACAGCAGGCCACUGAGACAUCAGCCAGACACUGGAAACUCGCCUGAUUUGGUUUCAGAAAAGAUACCAAAGAAUAAUUAGACCAUAAGGGGAAUUCUGUUUUCCAUUCCCCAGGGACUAUGAUUAGUAAGUGACUUUCCAUGUCAUUCUUUUUUCCACUUCCUGUUUUCCCCCUUGGAGAAAAUUGUUUACUAAAUGACGGGAACAAAUGCAACGAGAGCACCCAGGCAGCCUGGGCUGUACGGCUGACCCGGGCAAGGCUGCUGGUUUCAAACCUCUCUGGCGCACGGGGCCUGGAUGGGAACUCUCUUUUCUCUUCAUCUGAACAGCCAAAUGUUACAUUUGGAACCCAACUCAACUCUCAAAAGAAGCUAGCGGGUAAUUCCAAUGUGCUGUUGGGGACUUAAAGAGUAUUUGUAAGUUAUUUGAGAGCAAAGUUUAGGACCACCUCCUUUCAGAGCUCUAGGGAAAGUGGAGUUGACAUAAGAAAAUUGACAACAAAAAAUACAAUGUUCCCAAGAAUGAAAGCUGGUGACAACAACUUAAGUAGAGUGUCAGCAGCCCCAAUUCUGGCUAGCACCGCUGGAAAUUGAGAAGCCAGCAUGAAUGACCGGUGCAUUACAGAUGGCAACGUCAUAUUUUUAGACUACCUGAAGCAUGCAGUGAACGCAUAGGUGGUUGCCGAAUGUUUCUCACCUUCUUUGGAGAAUGUGGACUUGCUGAAUGCCACACAGACCCUUCAUAUAUCGUUCAAAUUGCAUUUGGAAAACAGAACAUUUAACUGCCUGCCAUUUUGAGCUGCUGCUGCCAAGGAACCCAUACACCGAGGCUGCUUCAGGGAGGUGGGAGGGGGGGAUUUGCAUGAUCUAGCAGGUGUCUCUGUUUCAACCUAUCAAUUAGGAAAAGAGCAGAGGCAGAUGUGAUAUAUUAGAUGGCCCUAAGAUGGAUCACUCUGAAAAAUCUCAUAUUGGCAAGAGGGAUUCAAGUUGCCAGGAAUCCCAAGUUUGCCAUGUGACAUCCCCCGAAGUCUGACAGGGUUUGACUGGUUUACUCUGCUAAAUGAAACUGCUGAGAUGACUGUCUCGAGGUGAUUAAUAAAGUGCAUAAAUCUUAACUAUGGGAAGAAAAGAAGAUGAAUUGAUGCAUGCACAUAUUGGAAAUGUAAUGAAACCAAAUUGAAGCAACCCGGAUUUGCUAAUAUAUUACAAAAAAACAAUACUGUGUUUAUUGUUCCUCACUGGUCUUAUUAUGUUGGUCUCAUUUCAAAAAUGACCAGGAAGACGUGUUUGAUUUUAUUUUUCAUUUUUCUAGCAUAGGAGACCAGAUUGGCAACAAAGUGGGAGAGUAAUAAUGACAUCAUAUAUAUAUGUUCCCCUCAUAUUCAUCAUUUAUUAUAUAUUUCUCCCAUGUUAAUGCAGUUAAUAAAAAGAAAGAUUGGUUCAACUUCCCUUGAAGCUGCUAUUGAAUGCUGUUAGUCAACAUAUAUGAAGUUUUAGUAGUUUUUGAAGUAAUUAGAACCCCGGAGCAAAUAAACACUAAAUGGGCUUUCAUCUUUGAAGUUAUUUUUUCUAACUAAAUAGCUCUGUUCUGUUAUAAUUAUAUACUAGUCGUUAUAAAAUUAAAAAUCAUUUUAAGCUAAUGGAUGCCUUUUUUUAAGAAGUAUUUGUUUCUUGCUAAUUAUUGUGAACUAAUUGUAGUUUAUGAUGGUCUUCAAGAAAUCUGAAAUCACUGCUUUAGAGUCCUUGUCUCCAAUGGUUGCAGACUUUAGUUCCAGUAGGAAAAAAAAAAAAAAAAA
Molecule: non-coding RNA, 5312 nt
Organism: Microcebus murinus (gray mouse lemur)
Lineage: Eukaryota; Metazoa; Chordata; Mammalia; Primates; Cheirogaleidae
Source: RefSeq, a predicted model, not a curated record